This 85-nucleotide non-coding RNA is filed under the name unclassified sequences. RNAcentral's name for it is "c-di-GMP sequence". It matches the Rfam family "c-di-GMP-II-GAG riboswitch aptamer". The record is from Rfam by way of RNAcentral.
CCGAAAGCGGGAGGCUACGACGCACGGUCCACACUCCGGCCGCCGGGACCGCGCCGAGCCACUGGCGAGACCGACCCGCGUACGU